RNAcentral lists this ribosomal RNA (497 nucleotides) under uncultured bacterium. RNAcentral's name for it is "partial 16S ribosomal RNA". It matches the Rfam family "Bacterial small subunit ribosomal RNA", at positions 28 to 507 of the family's 1533-position model. The record is from RNAcentral.
GAUGAACGCUGGCGGCGUGCCUAAUACAUGCAAGUCGAGCGAACAGACGAGGAGCUUGCUCCUCUGACGUUAGCGGCGGACGGGUGAGUAACACGUGGAUAACCUACCUAUAAGACUGGGAUAACUUCGGGAAACCGGAGCUAAUACCGGAUAACAUGUUGAACCGCAUGGUUCAACAGUGAAAGACGGUCUUGCUGUCACUUAUAGAUGGAUCCGCGCCGCAUUAGCUAGUUGGUAAGGUAACGGCUCACCAAGGCAACGAUGCGUAGCCGACCUGAGAGGGUGAUCGGCCACACUGGAACUGAGACACGGUCCAGACUCCUACGGGAGGCAGCAGUAGGGAAUCUUCCGCAAUGGGCGAAAGCCUGACGGAGCAACGCCGCGUGAGUGAAGAAGGUCUUCGGAUCGUAAAACUCUGUUAUUAGGGAAGAACAAAUGUGUAAGUAACUAUGCACGUCUUGACGGUACCUAAUCAGAAAGCCACGGCUAACUACGUG